CAUGAUGGUGGGCAAGAGCAGCAAGAUGUUGCAGAACAUUGACUACAGGAUGAGGUGCAUCCUGCAAGAUGGCCGGAUCUUCAUUGGGACCUUCAAAGCCUUUGACAAGCACAUGAAUUUGAUUCUGUGUGACUGUGAUGAGUUUGUGAAGAUCAAGCCAAAGAACUCCAAACAAGCAGAAAGGGAAGUGAAGUCCUUGGUCUGGUAUUGCUUUGCAGGGAGAACCUGGUCUCCAUAACAGUAGAAGGACCUCCUCCCAAAGACACCGGCAUGGCCACUUGUUGGAGCUCCUGGGGGACCAAGCAUCAGCAGGGCUGCUGGCAGAGGAAUCCCAGCAGGUGUUCCCAUGCCCCAGGCUCCUGCAGGAAUUGCUGAGCCAGUCUGAGAUGUUGGAGGGCCAUCCCAACAGGUAAUGACCCCACAAGGAAGAGGCACUGUUGUAGCUAUUGCAGCUGCAGCCACAGCCACAGCCAGUAUUGCAGGAGCCCCAAGUCAGUACUGACCUGGUUGUGGGGGUCCUCCUCUAUCUAUGGGUCCAGGGUCCCCUACUCCAGGUAUGAUGGGCCAACCUCCUGGCAUGCGGCCUCCCCUGGGGCUCCCUCCUGGCCAAGGAACUCCAAUGGGCAUGCCCCCUCCUGGGAUAUGACCUCCUCCUCCAGGAAUGCCAGGUCUG
Molecule: long non-coding RNA, 673 nt
Filed under: Mus musculus (house mouse)
Lineage: Eukaryota; Metazoa; Chordata; Mammalia; Rodentia; Muridae
Description: long non-coding RNA chrX:49944634-49945307
Source: RNAcentral